RNAcentral lists this unclassified non-coding RNA (254 nucleotides) under Melitaea cinxia (Glanville fritillary). RNAcentral describes it as "misc RNA ENSMCXG00005009573.1". The record is from RNAcentral. Lineage: Eukaryota; Metazoa; Arthropoda; Insecta; Lepidoptera; Nymphalidae.
AUAUCGUUAUGAUAAGUUAAUAUAUUUAUGUUGAAAAAUAUAUUUACCUAUUUCUUUAAAUUUUUUAUUGUUUUUUAUAGGUUUAAAAAUAUUUUUAAAUUAAAAAAAAAAAGAAAAAUACAGUCGAAUUAAGAACCUCCUCCUUUUUUAGAAGUCGGUUAAAAAUCAGUCUGAUACGUAUUAUUAUUUUCUGUUGGUGUACAAUAAAGUGUAUUGUUAUGUUAUGUCAUGUCAAUCAACCACUCUUAAAAAAA